Molecule: ribosomal RNA, 466 nt
Filed under: uncultured bacterium
Lineage: Bacteria
Description: partial 16S ribosomal RNA
Rfam family: Bacterial small subunit ribosomal RNA
Source: RNAcentral
GACGAACGCUGGCGGCGUGCUUAACACAUGCAAGUCGAACGGAAAGGCCUCUUUCGGGGGGUACUCGAGUGGCGAACGGGUGAGUAACACGUGAGUAACCUGCCCUUGACUUUGGGAUAACUUCAGGAAACUGGGGCUAAUACCGGAUAGGAGCUCCUGCUGCAUGGUGGGGGUUGGAAAGUUUCGGCGGUUGGGGAUGGACUCGCGGCUUAUCAGCUUGUUGGUGGGGUAGUGGCUUACCAAGGCUUUGACGGGUAGCCGGCCUGAGAGGGUGACCGGCCACAUUGGGACUGAGAUACGGCCCAGACCCUACGGGAGGCAGCAGUGGGGAAUAUUGCACAAUGGGUGGAAGCCUGAUGCAGCAACGCCGUGUGCGGGAUGACGGCCUUCGGGUUGUAAACCGCUUUCGCUCAUGACGAAGCUUUGUGUGACGGUAGUGGGUAAAGAAGCACCGGCUAACUACGUG